GCCGGAGUAGUUCAGCGGCAGAACAAAUCCAUGGUAAGGAUUAGACGGGAGUUCGAUUCUCCCCUCCGGCU
Molecule: transfer RNA, 71 nt
Filed under: Candidatus Liptonbacteria bacterium RIFCSPHIGHO2_01_FULL_56_18b
Lineage: Bacteria; Candidatus Liptoniibacteriota
Also listed under: 1 other name
Description: tRNA-Thr
Rfam family: tRNA
About the family: Transfer RNA (tRNA) molecules are approximately 80 nucleotides in length.
Source: RNAcentral